Candoia aspera is the source of this 769-nucleotide long non-coding RNA. RefSeq lists it as uncharacterized. The transcript has 2 exons. The record is from RefSeq and is a predicted model, not a curated record. NCBI's taxonomy places the organism in Eukaryota, Metazoa, Chordata, Lepidosauria, Squamata, Candoiidae.
CGAAAGCCGGACCUCCCCUGCUGCUUCGCCACCUUUGAUCGGAACCGGGAAGCCAACCUAGGAGCGGCCUUUACCCCCCUCUCCCGGGGGAUCAAGAAUAAUGUCUUCCGACUGGCCACGGCGGCGGUUCUGCUGCGAUGGAAGCCGCCUGCCGUGGCUCAAGCCGUGGGAGCGAAAGGGCAGCGCUCUGGUCCGUCGCUCUCGGCUUGAAAGAGUUCCCUGGGCUGAAGCAGCGAAGCCACCGGGAAAGAAAGCCCGUCCUAACAACCAUCCGGGCCAGAGCUGACCCAUAUUAGAAACUGCUUGCUGAAUCCUCUCCACCAUAUGUUCAAAGGCAAGGAGUGUCUGCUGUGCCCAGCAGCUGUAUUUGUAUACUUGAAAAUACUAUUUGCAGCUGCAGGAAUCCUCUUCUGCCAGAAGUAAAGCAGAUUCAGGAUGGAACUAUUUGGAAAUCUCUUGUCAUCAUUUACUUGGUACAGUCCCGACGACUAACAUGAUCAGGAUUGUUGAGAGCUAUUGCUGUCACAGUUUUGAUACUGCUGCUCAUUACUCUGGAUAUCCGGUGCUGAUAACUCAUUUUUCCGUCUCUCUCUCUCUAAUAUGGCCUGUUCUGCUCUCAAACUAUACAUGGAAUUUUUUACUUCAGCUUUUAUUACAGACACAUACCCUCAAACCUUUGCUGUCAUUAUGAACACUUGAAAGCCACUUGAUUUUAACAACUGAGUAUCCCAGAGUAAAGGCAAUAAAUUUUUGUCAUAGUACAUAGUGA